CUGGCACAAGGGAAUCUGCCACCACACAUCAGAGGCAGCCCCCGUCCAAGUCGCCGCAGGCCCCGCAGCAGCAGCCAGGCAAGUUUGCCAGGCGAGACUGGAACUGGCAAUUCUCCUGCUGCAGCCUGCCUCGUGCUGGAAUUAUAGAAGUGUGCCACCAUGAUCUGUAACGGCUGCAAAGCUAGGGCGACUAGACCUGUAACACGGACCACAUCAGCAGCAAGUUUCUUUGCUGCUUUGGUACAGAAACGAAAUACUUUCUCCAGUGCUCUCGCUUCGUGCAUUUUCAGACCAUGAGGGAAAAAGCCAUGGGCGUGAUAGAAACCUCCUAACAACCCCAUGACAAAGACAGUGACUCGCUCCAUGGAGGCCCACAGGCAGCUGUGCUCGUGAAGUGACUUGAACACCACGGCUGCCUCUGAGGGGAACUGACAUACGUCCCUGGUCACAUGUCUGCGGCUCCAUCCUCCUAGCUAGUUGAAGACAGGUGUUUAAGGACUGUCUUAAGCACUCUGAGGAACUUGCCCAAACCACCAAACCUUCACAACUCUGAACUUGCAGGCCUUGGUUGGGGCAAGACGUGCAAGGCUGCGCACCCAACUGCACCUCCGCGUAGCAGUGGGCUUCCCGGCCACAGCCCUUGACAGGACCGGAAGGCCAUGCUUUCCUCUCAGGUCACUGGCACAUGAUGCCCGCAGUGUGUCCAGUUCUGGUCCUACUGCUACCUAUGCCUUCUUUCUCGAGACAUGCACCUUUAACUGUGUUCUUCUAGCUUGUUAAUAAUGGCUGCCCUUAUUUCUUUUGCUGUCUCUGGGAGUGGGAUGUCUGACAAGCUUUCUUUGGUGACAGCUUAGUGCACUCAUUUGGGUCUGCUUUAUUUCCCACUAAUGUCACAGAUCACCUCAGGCCUGGUUUUGGAUGUUAUCUUUCCUAGUACCCUCUUUAAAUCCAAUUCAGAAAGUUUGAAAUCUCUGGCAGUAUAUUUAUUGUUUUUCUUCAUGCUGAUUUCUAAUUACACUGCACUGGGUAAAGGACUGUGAACUGUAUGGCAUCAAUCCUUGUGCCCUGAGACUUGGUGGCCUUCGUGCGUGGGCA
Long non-coding RNA from Fukomys damarensis (Damara mole-rat), 1095 nucleotides. RefSeq lists it as uncharacterized. The transcript is spliced from 2 exons. The record is from RefSeq and is a predicted model, not a curated record. NCBI's taxonomy places the organism in Eukaryota, Metazoa, Chordata, Mammalia, Rodentia, Bathyergidae.